This 428-nucleotide ribosomal RNA is filed under the name uncultured bacterium. RNAcentral's name for it is "bacterial SSU rRNA". It matches the Rfam family "Bacterial small subunit ribosomal RNA", at positions 355 to 775 of the family's 1533-position model. The record is from RNAcentral.
UCGAGAAUUUCUCGCAAUGGGGGCAACCCUGACGGAGCGACGCCGCGUGGAGGAUGAAGGUCUUCGGAUUGUAAACUCCUGUCAUUGGUGAACAAGAUUUUCGCGUUAACUGCGCGGGAAUUUGCUAGUAGCCGAAGAGGAAGGGACGGCUAACUCUGUGCCAGCAGCCGCGGUAAUACAGAGGUCCCGAGCGUUGUUCGGAUUCAUUGGGCGUAAAGGGUGCGUAGGCGGUCUGCUAAGUUUGAUGUGAAAUCCCGGGACUCAACCCUGGCAUGGCAUUGAAUACUGGCGGACUAGAGUCCUGGAGAGGAAACUGGAAUUUACGGUGUAGCAGUGAAAUGCGUAGAGAUCGUAAGGAAGACCAGUGGCGAAGGCGAGUUUCUGGACAGGUACUGACGCUGAGGCACGAAGGCCAGGGGAGCAAACGG